UUAGGUUGAGAUCUCACAACAAGAAAUGAAGGGGCACACGAGAUUUGGGGGCAGAGCUGCACUUGGUUCUGUUGGUCACUUAAGAAGGUGAGGAAUUUGGUCAUUGUAACUUGAUCUGUACUGCGGUGGUUAAAUCAAUCACUUGGGAAGGUUGGAACUAUUCUACUGAUGUUUUGCUUGAUAUUGUUGUUAUGGGAAGAAAUAGAAGGGAUGUAGUUGUAGUUGCUGUAAUGGGGGAAAAUCAAGGAAUUGAACAGGUGAUGGGAAAAUUGGUAGAUAUGCUUGCAAAGAAACUCAGUGAGACCUCUACUACUAUCAAUGCAAUUGUUCCUCAUGCUGAAUCAGUACAAAAAAUUGAGUUGAUGCAAAAUGAUAUUAAGUUGGAGGGUGUCAAAAAUUAUUUGAGUUGGACAAGGAGAGCAAUGUUGAUUUUAAAGACAAAGGGGUUAGAAGGAUAUGUCAUAGGAGAAGUGAAGGAGCCUGAGAGCACAAGUGUAGAAUGGAAAACUUGAAGUACUACCAACUCUUUAGUGGUAGCGUGGUAGUUGACCUCACUAAUCCCUGCUAUUGCUACAACUGUUGAGACCAUCUCUAGUGCGAGUGAGAUGUGGAAAACUCUCACUAAUCUAUACUCAGAAGAAGGUAAUAUGAUGCUAAUGAUGGUGGCACAAGAGAAGAUAAGUGCUUUGAAACAGGGGGAGCGCCUAUGGCAGAAUAUGUCGCAGAGUUGAAGUGUUUGUGAUUUGAUUUAGAUUAUUAUGAUCCUCUUGGGUUAGAGCAUUCUAAUUACAUAGCAAAAAUGAAGAAAUGGGUAGAGCGUAAAAGGGUCCUUGAGUUUUUGAAGGGCUUAAAUCCGGAGUUCAAAGGAAGAAGAGAUGCAAUGUUUCACCAAACCACUCUUCCUACCUUAGAUGUGGCUAUUGCAACUAUGGCACAAGAGGAGCUUAAGAAGAAACUAUUUCCUAUGCCACAUCGUCUUCAUCAAGUCCCACCUAUGCAAUUGUACAAGGAGAGGCAAACAGGGAAGAAACUUGGGAUUGGUGUCAGGCAUGAUGGACUUUCGUAUUUGGAUCGGGGAAGGACUAAUGAAGCCAUGUGUCUAGCUUUGAUGGCUUCCACAAGUGAAGAAGAGCUAAGGUGUUAUUUUUGCACUGUCGAUUGGGACAUAUAUCUUUUGAAAUUAUAAGUAAAAUAUUUCCAGUAGAGUUCAGUAGAGUGGAUAAACAUAAGUUAGUAUGUGAUGCUUGUGAGUAUGGGAAACAUACAAAAAUGUCAUAUGUGAGUAGAGGACUCCGAAGUAUGUUGCCCUUUAUGCUAAUUCACUCAGAUAUUUGGACCUCACCUGUGGUUUCUAUGAGUGGAAUGAAGUAUUUUGUCACCUUUAUUGAUUGCUACUCUCGCAUGACAUGGAUAUAUCUUAUGAGGCACAAGGACGAGGUGCUUAAAUGCUUCCAGAAUUUUUAUGCUUAAAUGUUUUCAGAAUUUUUAUGCAUACAUUAAAAAUCAUUUUAAUGCUCGGGUUUAGUUUAUUAGAACUGACAAUGGAGGGGAGUAUAUAAAUAAGAAUUUAGUAACUUUCUUUCAUCAGAAGGAAUAUUACAUCAAACUUCUUGUCCUGAUACUCCUCCACAAAAUGGGGUGGCUGAGA
This is a non-coding RNA of Oryza sativa Japonica Group (Japanese rice), 1648 nucleotides long. Lineage: Eukaryota; Viridiplantae; Streptophyta; Magnoliopsida; Poales; Poaceae. The record is from RefSeq and is a predicted model, not a curated record.